UCAAUUUCGUAGCCUGUCGCGUCGAUAUGUUUAUCAAAUAAAUACAUCAAACCUUUCGUUACAAUAACGACACAACUUUGUACACCCAGCACUUGAAACAAACCAGAAAACAUAUGCUUGAGUGUCCAGAAUGGAAGACGAACUGCGUGUUAGCGGUCAGCAUUGGUAACUCCAUAACUUCACAUACCAUAUAAUAAAAAUAAAAGUAAAGCAGCUGAAAUACUGCAUGUAGAACAGAUGAGAGCCUUGUCUAAGUUCAGGUUACCGAAUUUGAUGCAACCAAAGAGUACAAAACAAAUGACUACCCAUAAUAACCAGAUUAUUACUACCCAUUUUUUCCUUGAGUUGUACAAGCCGACCGCAGUUACUUUAACUGCCUUGGUCCAAGUUUCAUAGAAGUCUAAUGAGUUAGUGACUGAAGGUAAGAAUAACCCCAUUGUCUCACUUACAAGUCAAGAAUAUUAAAGCCAAAGUGCAAACAAGACACCAAAAUCCAAAUAAUGUCCAUUCCGCUGCACCAUAAUUUUUAAAGAAAGCGUCCUUAUACUUUAGAUAACAAAUUGCGAGUACAUUCAGUACAUAGAUUGGUGUGAAUGAUAUUAGCAGUUUUAUCAAGAAAGGGGAAGAAUUAUCUGUCGACCUGGAAGGAUUGUUUUCUCUAUGUGUGUUAGGAGAAUUGCUUACACGUGCGUGAUCUGUUUAAAUUAAUAUGAUUGAAAGACUUUAGUAAAGAAAGAACAUGUAUUAAAAUGUGUGCAUUGCAUGGCCAACUGUAAACAAUGACCAAAGCAUGCAAUUUGACUACGAUGGCAAGCUUCAAUUUCAAUUGAGUAAUUCCUUUCUUAUUAUUUACAAUUCUUACCCGAGUAUGGAGGCAGUGCGCCCUCUUCCUCUGAAUCAUAUUCUGGAAGUAGCCCUUUUUCCAAAUCGAUUUCAUGUCCUGUCUUCGAUUCAUCUCCUUCAUCUAUAGGACUUUUCAAGGAAGUGUAAUUAUUCUUCAUUUUUUCAAGAUCAUUCUUUAUUUAAUAAAAUACAUGCGCGAAUUAAUUGCUAUAAUUGCGACAAACGAAACAGCGAAAUCAAGAAUUUUCACUCUGGAGCCCAAUUUCAGCCGUUCAACAUAAAAAACGAGCAAUUUCUUUCAAAGAAGACUUCUCUCUUUAAUAAUAGUAGGUAAAAGUUAAAAUUCGAAAACUCAUUUUCAAAAUGCAAUUGCUUCUGACACAUUUAUUUUGUCACUGCCCUUUUUAUUUACCCUAACUUAGCUUUCCUUAAAACGUUUUUGAGAAGCAAACGUUGUAGUAUAAUUAUAAUGUCAGCUACGCAGUUUGGUAUCUGGUUUAACGAUAUAUAGCACUGCGGCGAGAUUUCUAGGGAUUUACAACAUAGCGGUAU
Non-coding RNA from Schizosaccharomyces pombe (fission yeast), 1395 nucleotides. The record is from the annotation of a GenBank genome assembly. NCBI's taxonomy places the organism in Eukaryota, Fungi, Ascomycota, Schizosaccharomycetes, Schizosaccharomycetales, Schizosaccharomycetaceae.